AACGCUAGCUACAGGCUUAACACAUGCAAGUCGAGGGGAAACGACAUUGAAAGCUUGCUUUUGAUGGGCGUCGACCGGCGCACGGGUGAGUAACGCGUAUCCAACCUGCCCACCACUUGGGGAUAACCUUGCGAAAGUAAGACUAAUACCCAAUGACGUCUCUAGAAGACAUCUGAAGGAGAUUAAAGAUUUAUCGGUGAUGGAUGGGGAUGCGUCUGAUUAGCUUGUUGGCGGGGUAACGGCCCACCAAGGCGACGAUCAGUAGGGGUUCUGAGAGGAAGGUCCCCCACAUUGGAACUGAGACACGGUCCAAACUCCUACGGGAGGCAGCAGUGAGGAAUAUUGGUCAAUGGGCGAGAGCCUGAACCAGUCAAGUAGCGUGCAGGAUGACGGCCCUAUGGGUUGUAAACUGCUUUUAUACAGGAAUAAAGUUAGCCACGUGUGGUUAUUUGUAGGUACUGUAUGAAUAAGGACCGGCUAAUUCCGUGCCAGCAGCCGCGGUAAUACGGAAGGUCCAGGCGUUAUCCGGAUUUAUUGGGUUUAAAGGGAGCGUAGGCCGUCUGUUAAGCGUGUUGUGAAAUGUAGAUGCUCAACAUCUGAAUUGCAGCGCGAACUGGCAGACUUGAGUGUGCGCAACGUAGGCGGAAUUCGUGGUGUAGCGGUGAAAUGCUUAGAUAUCACGAAGAACUCCGAUUG
This 696-nucleotide ribosomal RNA is filed under the name uncultured bacterium. RNAcentral describes it as "bacterial SSU rRNA". It matches the Rfam family "Bacterial small subunit ribosomal RNA", at positions 32 to 715 of the family's 1533-position model. The record is from RNAcentral.